This 486-nucleotide ribosomal RNA is filed under the name uncultured bacterium. Its description in RNAcentral is "partial 16S ribosomal RNA". It matches the Rfam family "Bacterial small subunit ribosomal RNA", at positions 30 to 507 of the family's 1533-position model. The record is from RNAcentral.
AUUGAACGCUGGCGGCAUGCCUUACACAUGCAAGUCGAACGGCAGCACGGGUGCUUGCACCUGGUGGCGAGUGGCGAACGGGUGAGUAAUACAUCGGAACAUGUCCUGUAGUGGGGGAUAGCCCGGCGAAAGCCGGAUUAAUACCGCAUACGAUCUACGGAUGAAAGCGGGGGACCUUCGGGCCUCGCGCUAUAGGGUUGGCCGAUGGCUGAUUAGCUAGUUGGUGGGGUAAAGGCCUACCAAGGCGACGAUCAGUAGCUGGUCUGAGAGGACGACCAGCCACACUGGGACUGAGACACGGCCCAGACUCCUACGGGAGGCAGCAGUGGGGAAUUUUGGACAAUGGGCGAAAGCCUGAUCCAGCAAUGCCGCGUGUGUGAAGAAGGCCUUCGGGUUGUAAAGCACUUUUGCCCGGAAAGAAAUCCUUGGCCCUAAUACGGUCGGGGGAUGACGGUACCGGAAGAAUAAGCACCGGCUAACUACGUG